This 406-nucleotide unclassified non-coding RNA is filed under the name fungal sp. RNAcentral's name for it is "partial internal transcribed spacer region". The stretch from base 1 to 46 matches the Rfam family "Eukaryotic small subunit ribosomal RNA", at positions 1786 to 1831 of the family's 1831-position model. Lineage: Eukaryota; Fungi. The record is from RNAcentral.
AAGUCGUAACAAGGUUUCCGUAGGUGAACCUGCGGAAGGAUCAUUAUCAACGUUAUCCACGUUAAUAAUCAAUCGUGAACUGUUUAUCUUGCCUCCAGUUGCGGUGAAUGAGUUUGCUUUCGAUUAAUGUCUCAGUCUGUCUAACACACUGAGGGGCCUCUUUGAUAAUCAAGUGGUUUUUGGGCCUAGUUAAUCGAUCGCCUACAGUACGGCUGCAUUCACUGUUUCUGGUUGUAAUUCUUUAAACUGCUUUUCUUUUUCUUAUUUACCAUUUCAACAAUACCUUUUUCAAUUAACAAUUGAAACUGAAUUGUUUCAUAUUUCCUUUUCGGAAACGAAAGGAGAUUGAAAUGAAAAAAUACGAAAAAUUAUAGAACAACUCUUAGCAACGGAUAUCUUGGUUCUC